CUUUUCCGCUCCCAGUCUUUCCUCAGCCGCCGCCGAUGAUGUCUCCGGCGCCGCAACGGAACCUGCAACGCGGCCGUGCUUCCGUCCUCUUAGACGGCGGCGGUGCCCGUGGCUGCAGCUCAAUAUCCGGUGUGCCCCGCCCGGCCAUUUUCGUCGAGCUUCUGAUUGGAAUUAGGGGCCCCGAUUCGGCGCGCUUGCUUUCACUAGAUCCUGCUUGUUCUCCCUGUUGUUAACAUCCGCUUGAAGCUCUUCGCUUUGUCUCCCGCUAGUCUCGAUCUAGCCGCGUGUUAGCUCAGCUCGGCUUAGGCGAUGUGUAAUCGUGUUCCGAAUGGAGAUGAUGAUUGUUCAGGUAACUAUCAAACUUGUCUACAAAAUCAGUCUCAAGUUCAGUUGCGAGCUUUGGCGUUUGAGGUUCUGUUAGGUUCAGGUGUACCUUCUUUCCUCUACCCUUCAUGAUGGAUUCAAGGAUGCACAAUGCACAUUCAUUUUAAUAUGCUGUAUCGAUUACAAAACUUGCUAUCACUGAACCUGAGGAUCGUUAUGCUUUAGUGUUUUUCGCUUGGAUAAUUUAGCUAGAAUCCAAUCCUGGCAACUUUAGUUUGGUGACUUUUUCUUCGAUGCCACUGAAUAGUUUGGUGAGCUGUGCUGUUUUGACCCUCGUCAUGUAAUGCAAUAAGUCAGCGAACAGUACUUUCAGCCAUUCAAUAGUGUUUCUCUCACAA
This is a long non-coding RNA of Sorghum bicolor (sorghum), 722 nucleotides long. RefSeq lists it as uncharacterized. NCBI's taxonomy places the organism in Eukaryota, Viridiplantae, Streptophyta, Magnoliopsida, Poales, Poaceae. The record is from RefSeq and is a predicted model, not a curated record. The transcript has 2 exons.